GGCCACAGCCAUAUCACCCUGUGCCGUAAGACCAGUUACUCACUGAAGCUAAGCAGGGCUGAGCCUGGUCAGUACCGGAAUGGGAGACCACAUGGGAAAACUAGGUUGCUGUUGGAA
Molecule: ribosomal RNA, 117 nt
Filed under: Danio rerio (zebrafish)
Lineage: Eukaryota; Metazoa; Chordata; Actinopteri; Cypriniformes; Danionidae
Source: RNAcentral